UUUAUGGAGAGUUUGAUCCUGGCUCAGGAUGAACGCUGGCGGCGUGCCUAAUACAUGCAAGUCGAGCGAACUGACGAGGAGCUUGCUCCUUUGACGUUAGCGGCGGACGGGUGAGUAACACGUGGGUAACCUACCUAUAAGACUGGAAUAACUCCGGGAAACCGGGGCUAAUGCCGGAUAACAUGUUGAACCGCAUGGUUCAACAGUGAAAGACGGUYUUGCUGUCACUUAUAGAUGGACCCGCGCCGUAUUAGCUAGUUGGUAAGGUAACGGCUUACCAAGGCGACGAUACGUAGCCGACCUGAGAGGGUGAUCGGCCACACUGGAACUGAGACACGGUCCAGACUCCUACGGGAGGCAGCAGUAGGGAAUCUUCCGCAAUGGGCGAAAGCCUGACGGAGCAACGCCGCGUGAGUGAUGAAGGUCUUCGGAUCGUAAAGCUCUGUUGUUAGGGAAGAACAUAUGUGNUUGCUGUCACUUAUAGAUGGACCCGCGCCGUAUUAGCUAGUUGGUAAGGUAACGGCUUACCAAGGCGACGAUACGUAGCCGACCUGAGAGGGUGAUCGGCCACACUGGAACUGAGACACGGUCCAGACUCCUACGGGAGGCAGCAGUAGGGAAUCUUCCGCAAUGGGCGAAAGCCUGACGGAGCAACGCCGCGUGAGUGAUGAAGGUCUUCGGAUCGUAAAGCUCUGUUGUUAGGGAAGAACAUAUGUGUAAGUAACUGUGCACAUCUUGACGGUACCUAACCAGAAAGCCACGGCUAACUACGUGCCAGCAGCCGCGGUAAUACGUAGGUGGCAAGCGUUAUCCRGAAUUAUUGGGCGUAAAGCGCGCGUAGGCGGUUUUUUAAGUCUGAUGUGAAAGCCCACGGCUCAACCGUGGAGGGUCAUUGGAAACUGGAARACUUGAGUGCAGAAGAGGAAAGUGGAAUUCCAUGUGUAGCGGUGAAAUGCGCAGAGAUAUGGAGGAACACCAGUGGCGAAGGCGGCUUUCUGGUCUGUAACUGACGCUGAGGUGCGAAAGCGUGGGGAUCAAACAGGAUUAGAUACCCUGGUAGUCCACGCCGUAAACGAUGAGUGCUAAGUGUUAGGGGGUUUCCGCCCCUUAGUGCUGCAGCUAACGCAUUAAGCACUCCGCCUGGGGAGUACGGUCGCAAGACUNGCAGAAGAGGAAAGUGGAAUUCCAUGUGUAGCGGUGAAAUGCGCAGAGAUAUGGAGGAACACCAGUGGCGAAGGCGGCUUUCUGGUCUGUAACUGACGCUGAGGUGCGAAAGCGUGGGGAUCAAACAGGAUUAGAUACCCUGGUAGUCCACGCCGUAAACGAUGAGUGCUAAGUGUUAGGGGGUUUCCGCCCCUUAGUGCUGCAGCUAACGCAUUAAGCACUCCGCCUGGGGAGUACGGUCGCAAGACUGAAACUCAAAGGAAUUGACGGGGACCCGCACAAGCGGUGGAGCAUGUGGUUUAAUUCGAAGCAACGCGAAGAACCUUACCAAAUCUUGACAUCUUUUGACCGCUCUAGAGAUAGAGUUUUCCUCUUCGGAGGACAAAAUGACAGGUGGUGCAUGGUUGUCGUCAGCUCGUGUCGUGAGAUGUUGGGUUAAGUCCCGCAACGAGCGCAACCCUUAAGCUUAGUUGCCAUCAUUAAGUUGGGCACUCUAAGUUGACUGCCGGUGACAAACCGGAGGAAGGUGGGGAUGACGUCAAAUCAUCAUGCCCCUUAUGAUUUGGGCUACACACGUGCUACAAUGGACAAUACAAAGGGCAGCGAAACCGCGAGGUCAAGCAAAUCCCAUAAAGUUGUUCUCAGUUCGGAUUGUAGUCUGCAACUCGACUAU
This 1837-nucleotide ribosomal RNA is filed under the name Staphylococcus agnetis. RNAcentral's name for it is "bacterial SSU rRNA". It matches the Rfam family "Bacterial small subunit ribosomal RNA", at positions 1 to 1319 of the family's 1533-position model. Lineage: Bacteria; Bacillati; Bacillota; Bacilli; Caryophanales; Staphylococcaceae. The record is from RNAcentral.